CGUGAGAUGUUGGGUUAAGUCCCGCAACGAGCGCAACCCCUAUCCUUUGUUGCCAGCACGCAAUGGUGGGAACUCAAAGGAGACUGCCGCGGACAACGCGGAGGAAGGCGGGGAUGACGUCAAGUCAUCAUGCCCCUUAUGUCCUGGGCUACACACGUACUACAAUGGGAUGGACAGAGAGCAGCGAAGCCGCGAGGCCAAGCGAACCCCAUAAACCAUCUCCCAGUUCGGAUUCUCAGGCUGCAACCCGCCUGCA
This 256-nucleotide ribosomal RNA is filed under the name uncultured bacterium. RNAcentral describes it as "partial 16S ribosomal RNA". It matches the Rfam family "Bacterial small subunit ribosomal RNA", at positions 1066 to 1320 of the family's 1533-position model. The record is from RNAcentral.